GUAUUUGCCUGACAGGAAAGAGACGCUCAUCAGACACAUGGUUUUCUCCACGUGAAGCUCAUCCAUUGCACUCCGAGUGUGCCAACCCCUGAGAUUCCCCCAGAUUCAGGAAACUCAACUGCAUAACUGG
RNAcentral lists this small nuclear RNA (130 nucleotides) under Mesocricetus auratus (golden hamster). RNAcentral describes it as "U1 spliceosomal RNA (ENSMAUG00000004302.1)". Lineage: Eukaryota; Metazoa; Chordata; Mammalia; Rodentia; Cricetidae. The record is from RNAcentral.